RNAcentral lists this ribosomal RNA (478 nucleotides) under uncultured bacterium. RNAcentral describes it as "partial 16S ribosomal RNA". It matches the Rfam family "Bacterial small subunit ribosomal RNA", at positions 28 to 523 of the family's 1533-position model. The record is from RNAcentral.
GACGAACGCUGGCGGCGUGCUUAACACAUGCAAGUCGAGCGAUGAAGCUCCUUCGGGAGUGCAUCAGCGGCGGACGGGAGAGUAACACGUGGGUAACCUGCCUCAUAGAGGGGAAUAGCCUUUCGAAAGGAAGAUUAAUACCGCAUAAGAUUGUAGUACCGCAUGGUACAGCAAUUAAAGGAGUAAUCCGCUAUGAGAUGGACCCGCGUCGCAUUAGCUAGUUGGUGAGGUAACGGCUGACCAAGGCGACGAUGCGUAGCCGACCUGAGAGGGUGAUCGGCCACAUUGGGACUGAGACACGGCCCAGACUCCUACGGGAGGCAGCAGUGGGGAAUAUUGCACAAUGGGGGAAACCCUGAUGCAGCAACGCCGCGUGAGUGAUGACGGUCUUCGGAUUGUAAAGCUCUGUCUUUAGGGACGAUAAUGACGGUACCUAAGGAGGAAGCCACGGCUAACUACGUGCCAGCCGCCGCGGUAA